UACGUAGGUGGCAAGCGUUGUCCGGAUUUACUGGGCGUAAAGGGCGUGCAGGCGGUCUGUUAAGUUCAGGGUGAAAGCUCCCGGCUCAACUGGGAGAGGUCCUUGGAUACUGGCAGACUCGAGGGAGGUAGAGGAGAGUGGAAUUCCCGGUGUAGUGGUGAUAUGCGUAGAUAUCGGGAGGAACACCAGUGGCGAAGGCGGCUCUCUGGGCCUUUCCUGACGCUGAGACGCGAAAGCGUGGGGAGCGAACAGG
RNAcentral lists this ribosomal RNA (253 nucleotides) under uncultured bacterium. RNAcentral describes it as "partial 16S ribosomal RNA". It matches the Rfam family "Bacterial small subunit ribosomal RNA", at positions 524 to 776 of the family's 1533-position model. The record is from RNAcentral.